This is a long non-coding RNA of Aegilops tauschii subsp. strangulata, 1414 nucleotides long. RefSeq lists it as uncharacterized. NCBI's taxonomy places the organism in Eukaryota, Viridiplantae, Streptophyta, Magnoliopsida, Poales, Poaceae. The record is from RefSeq and is a predicted model, not a curated record.
UUUAUGGUCAAAAUUUGACACAAAUUACGAAGGGGACCAAUAAACCAGGAGGGAGGGAGUAGUGCGAGUAGCGCAAUAUACGGUAUAGAGGACUAGAAAAAUUUAAAAAUGGAGUAAGAAUUUACAAGGUUGUGCAACAGACUUUGUAGGCUACAUGAGUAAUACAAAAUAUAAUUCUCAUUGGACAACACUUUCACCAACAAAUACGCACUUUCACCGGGAUCAGAAUAGUUAUUCGGAUCCCGACGCGGGCCCGAUGGACUUGUUCCCGAACUCCCGAAACAAGCAGUGACAGAAAAAAUGCCCACCCUCCCUCGAUCCCCCACCUCCCGCACCUCCCGUCCAAAAAAACCACCCCACCCCACCCGCUGCCCCGAUCCCCACCUUGACCUCCCUUGAUCCCCUCCCCCGAGUGCCACCACCCUCGCUGGAUCUCGCCGCCCUGCGCGCCUCCUCCCGCAGGCCGACCUACCCAAGGCGCCGCCGCCCCCCGACCAACCAGCGCGGGGUCGCUGGGUGCCGCCCACGCCACCGGGAACCUGCUGCCGCACUUCCGCCAUGGCCGCACGCUCCUCCGCGGCCCAAUCGUCGCCGCCGCCGGGGAUCCUCGAGCACCAUCAUCCUGGCACGCAGUCCAUGGCUGCCUCCCCACGCAGUCCCCUUCUUGCUGCCGACGCGAAUCCUGUCAACCCCUUCCUCUUCUCCUUCUCUUCCUCCAGUGAUAUUUGCUGGAUCCUGCCGCCGUUAACACCAGGCAUCGGAACCCCGGCCCUGCACUCCAUCGCUACGCCCUGUCUUCUUCUCGCUGCGGCUGCUCCACAUCGCGUCCGCCUGUCGUCGCGACGCCCCCAACUCGCCUGCUUUCCCCAACGCCUGUUGGUUGACCUUCUCGCAAAGGCCACCUCGACCUUCUCGAGGAAGGUUACUUCCGAGGACCCGGCUCACAAGGUGCACACCAUCUCGUCCUAGCUGCUGCUGUGUGCAGAUCCGCCGACCUGAAGACGCAAGAGAGGGAGAUACAGAGCAUGAGUAGAACAUGGACUGCUCGCACACGCCGCCACAGACUGCUCCGCUGCCAUCCCCGUCGUGCUGUGUCCACGGGGCUCCUUGACCCAUCGACAGCGACAACUGCACACAGCCGCCUGCUCCUCAACUCCGACAGCCGUGCAGGCAGCUAUCCCUCCUGGAGGCCGACACCACGCUAGCUGCUUGCUUCCACUCACGUGCUUGUGAAUGGAUGGUGCCUGUAGAUAUUCAUUUGCUUCAGUGACUCGUAUGCUUCCGUGUCUACGCUCAUCCUGAGUAUUCUCUGUCUGUGGUUCAUGCAUACAUCAUAUAUUUGAUGCUAACAUGUGUCUAAUGCAGACCACUAAAAAAGACAAUUCACUUAGUUAUAAAAAAGUAGUGUUUGUUC